GCUGGUAUGGCGGAAUAGGCAGACGCAACAGACUUAAAAUCUGUCGAACAAUAGUUCGUGCCGGUUCAAGUCCGGCUACCAGCA
RNAcentral lists this transfer RNA (84 nucleotides) under Lachnospiraceae bacterium. RNAcentral's name for it is "tRNA-Leu". It matches the Rfam family "tRNA". Rfam says of the family: Transfer RNA (tRNA) molecules are approximately 80 nucleotides in length. The record is from RNAcentral. Lineage: Bacteria; Bacillati; Bacillota; Clostridia; Lachnospirales; Lachnospiraceae.